Molecule: long non-coding RNA, 20475 nt
Filed under: Triticum aestivum (bread wheat)
Lineage: Eukaryota; Viridiplantae; Streptophyta; Magnoliopsida; Poales; Poaceae
Description: long non-coding RNA (TAES_LNC016589)
Source: RNAcentral
GAAAAAAAUGUUAGUAGCAAUGUUGCGGAUUUGAUCCGUGAUCUGAGGUUAAAUCCUCAUUGCUGCACAGAAGAAUUAUGUCCUUAAUGCACCGCUAGGUGACAGACCUAUUGCAGGAGCAAAUGCAGACGUUAUGAACGUUUGGCUAGCUCAAUAUGAUGACUACUUGAUAGUUUAAGUGCACCAUGCUUAACGGCUUAGAAUCGGGACUUCAAAGACGUUUUGAAUGUCAUGGACCAUAUGAGAUGUUCCAGGAGUUGAAGCUAAUAUUUCAAGCAAAUACCCGAGUUGAGAGAUAUGAAGUCUCCAACAAGUUCUAUAGCUAAAAGAUGGAGGAGAAUCGCUCAACUAGUGAGCAUGUGCUCAGAUUGUCUGAGUACUACAAUCGCUUGAAUCAAGUGGGAGUUAAUCUUCCAGAUAAGAUAGUGAUUGACAGAAUUCUCUAGUCACCAUCACCAAGUUAGUAGAACUUCGUGAUGAACUAUGACAUGCAAGGGAUAACGGAAACGAUUCCCAAGCUCUUCGUAAUGCGGAAAUUGACGAAGGUAGAAAUCGAGAAAAACAUCAAGUGUUGAUGGUAGACAAGACCACUAGUUUCAAGAAAAAGGGCAAAGGGAAGAAAAAGGGGAACUUCAAGAAGAACAGCAAGCAAGUUGCUGCUCAAGUGAAGAAGCCCAAGUCUGAUCCUAAGCCUGAGACUAAGUGUUUCUACUGCAAAGGGACUGGUCACUGGAAGCGGAUCUACCCCAAGUGAUUGGCGGAUAAGAAGGAUGGCAAAGUGAACAUAAGUAUAUUUGAUAUACAUGUUAUUGAUGUGUACUUUACUAGUGUUUAUCGCAAACCCUCAGUAUUUGAUACUAGUUCAGUUGCUAAGAUUAGUAACUCGAAACGGGAGUUGCAGAAUAAACAGAGACUAGUUAAGGGUGAAGUGACGAUGUGUGUUGGAAGUGGUUCCAAGAUUGAUAUGAUCAUCAUCGCACACUCCCUAUUCUUUUCGGGAUUAGUGUUGAACCUAAAUAAAUGUUAUUUGGUGUUUGCGUUGAGCAUGAAUAUGAUUUGAUCAUGUUUAUUGCAAUACGGUUAUUCAUUUAAGUAAGAGAAUAAACUGUUGUUCUAUUUACAUGAAUAAAACCUUAUAUGGUUACACACCCAAUGAAAAUGGUUCAUUGGAUCUCGAUCAUAGUGAUACACAUAUUCAUAAUAUUGAUGCCAAAAGAUGCAAAGUUAAUAAUGAUAGUGCAACUUAUUUGUGGCACUGCCGUUUGGGUCAUAUCGGUGUAAAGCGCAUGAAGAAACUCCAUAAAGAUGGAUUUUCGGAAUCACUUGGUUAUGAAUCAUUUGAUGCUUGCGAACCGUGCCUUUUGGGCAAGAUGACUAAAACUCCGUUCUUCGGAACAAUGGAACGAGUUACUGACUUGUUGGAAAUAAUACAUACCGAUGUAUGCGAUCCAAUGAGUGCUGUUGCUCGUGGCAAGCAUCGUUGUUUUCUGACCUUCACAAGAUGAUUUGAGCAGAUAUGGGUAUAUCUACUUGAUGAAACAUAAGUCUGAAAUAGUUGAAAGGUUCAAAGAAUUUCAGAGUGAAGUGGAAAAAUCAUCGUAACAAGAAAAUAAAGUUUCUGCGAUCUGAUCGCGGAGACAAAUAUUUGAGUUACGAGUUUGGUCUUCAAUUAAAACAAUGUGGAAUAGUUUCACAGCUCACGCCACCUGGAACACCACAUCGUUAUAGUGUGUCCGAACGUCGUAACCGCACUUUAUUUGAUAUGGUGCGAUCUAUGAUAUCUCUUUACCACUAUCGUUUUGGGGUUAUGCAUUAGAGACAGCUGCAUUCACGUUUUAAAAUAGGGCACCAUCUAAAUCCGUUGAGACGACACUGUAUGAACUAUGGUUUAGCAGUAAACCUAACCUGUUGUUUCUUAAAGUUUGGGGCUGCGAUGCUUAUGUGAAAAAGGUUUCAUCCUGAUAAGCUCGAACCCAAAUCGGAGAAGUGCGUCUUCAUACCCAAAGGAAAUUGUUGGGUACACCUUCUAUCACAGAUCCGAAGGCAAGACAUUCGUUGCUAAAAUGGAUCCUUUCCAGAGAAGGAGUUUCUCUCGAAAGAAGUGAGUGGGAGGAAAGUAGAACUUGAUGAGGUAAUUAUACCUUCUCCCUUAUUGGAAAGUAGUUCAUCACAGAAAUCAGUUCCAGUGAUUCCUACACCAAUAAGUGAGGAAGUUAAUGAUGAUGAUCAUCAAACUUCAGAUCAAGUUACUACCAAACCUCGUAGGUCUUCCAGAGUAAGAUCCGCACCAGAGUGGUAUGGUAAUCAUGUUCUGGAAGUCAUGUUACUAGACCAUGAUGAACCUACGAACUAUGAGGAAGCAAUGAUGAGCCCAGAUUCCACGAAAUGGCUUGAGGCCAUGAAAUCUGAGAUAUGAUCCAUGUAUGAGAACAAAGUGUAAACUUUGAUUGACUUGCCCAAUGAUCGGUGAGUCAUUAAGAAUAAAUGGAUCUUCAAGAGGAAGACGGACGUUGAUAGUAGUGUUACUAUCUACAAAGCUAGACUUGUCGAAAAAGGUUUUUGACAAAGUUCAAGGUGUUGAAUACGAUGAGAUUUUCUUACUCGUAUCGAUGCUUAAAAGUCUGUCCGAAUCAUGUUAGCAAUUGCCGCAUUUUAUGAUUAUGAAAUUUGGCAGAUGGAUGUCAAAACUGCAUUCCUGAAUGGAUUUCUAGAAGAAGAGUUGUAUAUGAUGCAACCGGAAGGUUUUGUCGAUCCAAAGGGAGCUAACAAAGUGUGCAAGCUCCAGCGAUCCAUUUAUGGACUGGUGCAAGAAUCUCGGAGUUGGAAUAUACGCUUUGAUAAGUUGAUCAAAGCAUAUAGUUAUUGUACAGACUUACAGUGAAGCCUGUAUUUACAAGAAAGUGAGUGGGAGCACUACAACAUUUCUGAUAAGUAUAUGUGAAUGACAUAUUGUUGAUCGGAAAUAAUGUAGAAUUAUUCUGCAAAGCAUGAAAGGAUACUUGAAUAAAAGUUUUUCAAAGAAAGACCUUGGUGAAGCUGCUUACACAUUGAGCAUCAAGAUCUAUAUAGAUAGAUGAAGACGCUUGAUAAGAUUUUUUCAAUGAAUACAUACCUUGAUAAAUUUUUGAAAUAGUUCAAAAUGGAACAGUCAAAGAAGGAGUUCUUGCCUGUGUUGCAAGGUGUUAAGUUGAGUAAGACUCAAAGCCCGACCACGGCAGAAAAUAGAAAGAGAAUGAAAGUCAUUCCCUAUGCCUCAGUCAUAGGUUCUAUAAAGUAUGCCAUGUUGUAUACCAGAUCUAUUGUAUGCCAUACCACUGAGUUUGUCAAGGGAGUACAAUAGUGAUCUAGAAGUAGAUCACUGGAGAAGCGGUCAAAAUUGUCCUUAGUGGAAUAAGGAUAUGUUUCUCGAUUAUGGAAAAAGGUUCGUCGUAAAAGGUUACGCCGAUGCAAGUUUGACACUAAUCUAGAUAACUCUAAGUCUUGAUCUAGAUACAUAUUGAAAGUGGGAGCAAUUAGCUAGAGUAGCUCCGUGCAGAGCAUUGUAGACAUAGAAUUCGCAAAAUACUUACGGAUCUGUAUAUGACAUACCCGUUGACUAAGAUUCUCUCACAAGCAAAACAUGAUCACACCUUAGUACUCCUUGGGUGUUAAUCACAUAGCGAUGUGAACUAGAUUACUAAAUCUAGUAAACCCUUUGGGUGUUAAUCACAUGGUGAUGUGAACUAUUGCUGUUAAAUCACAUGGCGAUGUGAACUAGAUUAUUGACUCUAGUGCAAGUGGGAGACUGAAGGAAAUAUGCCCUAGAGGCAAUAAUAAAGUUAUUAUUUAUUUCCUUAUAUCAUGAUAAAUGUUUAUUAUUCAUGCUAGAAUUGUAUUAACCGGAAACAUAAUACAUGUGUGAAUACAUAGACAAACAGAGUGUCACUAGUAUGCCUCUACUUGACUAGCUCGUUAAUCAAAGAUGGUUAUGUUUCCUGACCAUGAACAAUGAGUUGUUAUUUGAUUAACGAGGUCACAUCAUUAGUUGAAUGAUCUGAUUGACAUGACCCAUUCCAUUAGCUUAGCACCUGAUCGUUUAGUAUGUUGCUAUUGCUUUCUUCAUGACUUAUACAUGUUCAUAUGACUAUGAGAUUAUGCAACUCCCGUUUGCCGGAGGAACACUUUGGGUGCUACCAAACGUCACAACGUAAAUGGGUGAUUAUAAAGGAGCAUUACAGGUGUCUCCAAAGGUAGAUGUUGGGUUGGCGUAUUUCGAGAUUAGGAUUUGUCACUCCGAUUGUCGGAGAGGUAUCUCUGGGCCCUCUCGGUAAUGCACAUCACAUAAGCCUUGCAAGCACUGCAACUAAUAUGUUAGUUGUGAGAUGAUGUAUUACGGAACGAGUAAAGAGACUUGCCGGUAACGAGAUUGAACUAGGUAUUGGAUACCGACGAUCAAAUCUCGGGCAAGUAACAUACCGAUGACAAAGGGAACAACGUAUGUUGUUAUGCGGUCUGACCGAUAAAGAUCUUCGUAGAAUAUGUAGGAGCCAAUAUGGGCAUCCAGGUCCCGCUAUUGGUUAUUGACCGGAGACAUGUCUCGGUCAUGUCUACAUUGUUCUCGAACCCGUAGGGUCCGCACGCUUAAGGUUUUGAUGACAGUUAUAUUAUGAGUUUAUGAGUUUUGAUGUACCGAAGGAGUUCGGAGUCCCGGAUGAGAUCGGGGACAUGACGAGGAGUCUCGAAAUGGUCGAGACGUAAAGAUCGAUAUAUUGGACGACUAUAUUAGGACAUCGGAAAGGUUCCGAGUGAUUCGGGUAUUUUUCGGAGUACCGGGUAGUUACGGGAGAAGUAAUGGGCCUUAAUGGGCUUUAGUGGGAAGAGGAAAAAGGCUGCUGCGCCCCCCCUCCCCUUUGGUCCGAAUUGGACUAGGGAAAAGGGGGCCGGCCACCUCUCCUUCUCCUCCUAUUCCUUCUCCCUUCCUCCCCUCUUGGUGGACUCCUACUAGGACUUGGAGUCCUAGUAGGACUCCCUAUCCUGGCCGCACCUUUGCCUUGGCCGGCCUCCUCCUCCUCCAUCCUUUAUAUACGGAGGCAGGGGCACCUCUAAACACACAAGUUGACACAAGUUGAUCCACGUGAUCUAUUCCUUAGCCGUGUGCGGUGCCCCCUGCCACCAUAUACCUCGAUAAUACUGUAGCGGAGUUUAGGCGAAGCCCUGCUGCUGUAGUUCAUCAAGAUCGUCACCACGCCGUCGUGCUGACGGAACUCUUCCCUGACACUUUGCUGGAUCGGAGUCCGGGGAUCGUCAUCGAGCUGAACGUGUGCUCGAACUCGGAGGUGCCGUAGUUUCGGUGCUUGAUCGGUUGGAUCGUGAAGACGUACGACUACUUCCUCUACGUCGUGUCAUUGCUUCCGCAGUCGGUCUGCGUUGGGUACGUAGACAACACUCUCCUCUCGUUGCUAUGCAUCACAUGAUCCUGUGUGCGCGUAGGAAAAUUUUUGAAAUUACUACGAAACCCAACAAAAAAUCCUCGCAAAGUUUCGUUCCAUUCCGAAAACUUUUAUUUCUGCACAAAAACAACACCAUGGUAGUUCUGCUAAAAAUAGUGUUAGUCCGGGGUUAGUUUCAUUCAAAGCAUGCAAAUUAGAGUCCAAAACAAGAGGAAAAGCAUUAGGAAAAGUAGAUACGUUGGAGACGUAUCAACUCCCCCAAGCUUAAACCUUUGCUUGUCCUCAAGCAAUUCAGUUGAUAAACGGAAAGUGAAAAAGAAAAACUUUUAUGAACUCUUUUGCCCUUGUUUCAUAAAUAAGCUUAAACAGCACCCAGGUUUUCAACAAGGAUUAUAACUAACCAUGUCGACAAUAACUCUUAAAAAUUAUAUUAACUCAUAUCAAUGACAUAAUCAACUAGAGAACAAUAAUAAAACAUCUCAAAUAGCAACACAUUGUCAAAACAACCAUGAUAUAAUGUGAUAAUAGUGGUAUCUCGCUAGCCCUUUCUGAGACCGCAAAACAUAAAUGCAAAGCACCCCCAAAGUUCAAGAAGUGACUAAAUAUUGUAAUUCAUGGUAGAAAAGAUCCAGUCAUGAUGCACCCAAUAUUAGCUACACACAAUGCAUCGGCAUGACAUCAGUGCUCUCAGGUUCUGGUGCUUAUUUGAGAAGGUGAUGACACAACAUAAAAGUAAAUAGAUAGUCCCUUCGCAGAGGGAAGCAGUGAUUUGCAGCGGUGCCAGAGCUCAAGUUUUUAAAACAGAGGUAAAUAAUAUUUUGAGACAUGCACCCUUCCCAUUUACUUUGCGACUAUCAGUUAUCAAUAUCUUCCAUGCUAAACACGCUAGUGGCGGUUCCCAAGCGGGAAAUGUAAUGGUUAUGACUCCAUUGGGAGUUUUUGUUUGAUUAUUUAUGAGCUCUUUUAUUUUUGCAGUUUGGGACUGGGCAUCCCUAUUACCGCCCUUUUUCUCGUGCGAUGGCAAGUGAAUAAACACUCGACCUGAGAAUAACCCACUUAGCAUGGAAGAUAUCGACUACCUCCUGUCGUUCCAUGAACGAUCCAGGCACACAAAAAGGAUAUUUAUAUGUAGUUUUUAGAGUUGGCACAUGAAAAUUUACUUAGGACGGCAGGGUAAUACCGCAUAUAGGUAGGUAUGGUGGACUCAUCUGGAAUAACUUGGGUUUCAGGUUUUUGAUGUACAAGCAGAGUUCCCACUUAGUACAAGCGAAGGCUAGCAAAUAGGUUGAGAAGCGGCCAGCUAGAGAGCAACAACGGUCAUGAACAUGCAUUAUGCAUAAGUAAGCAUGAGUAGGAUAUGAACACCAUGAACAUAAAUAUCAUAGAGGCUAUGUUGGUUUUGAUUCAACUACAUGCAUGAACAUGCGCCAAGUCAAGCCACUCAAACAUUCAGAGGAGGAUACCAUAUCAUCAUACUACAUCACAAUCAUUUUAAAGCAAUGUUGAUAUCCAAGAUAAGUCAUCAUUCACUCCUAGCUACUUAUGCAUGGCAUGAGAAACUAUAAUCUCUAAUUAUCAUUGCAAACAUGUUUGAUCAUAAUAGGCUGAAUCAUGGAUACUUGGUUAAACAUAUUUACAAAAACAGAACAAGUCAAGUUCAUACCAGUUUCUCUCUGCCACGGCCAGUUCACUAUUAUCGUCAUUAUUGCCUUUCACUUGCACGACCGAAUGAUUUGAAAAUAAUAAUAGUGCAAGAAUGUCGUGGACUAAGAUGGAAUCUGCAAACAUUUUACUAAAGAGGAGAAGACAAGGUAAUAUGGGCUCUUUGUUAGAUUAACAAUAAAGCAAAUGAGAGCCACUCAACAUUUUCAUUGUGGUAUUCUCCUCGGUAUGACUCAAUAAAAGAAAAAGAAAUUCAGAGAAACACACUAAAAUAUUUUUGGAGUUUUUGGUUUUUCGAAAGCAAGCAAACGAAAAAGGGAAAAGCAAAAACGAGAAAAACUAUUUACAUGGGAAAGCUCCCAACAAGUAAAAGAAGAACAAGAAUAUCUUUUUGGGUUUUAUUUUUAGUACUACAACAAUUUAAACUAGGAAGAAAAAUCAAAAAGAAGCAAGAAACAUAUUUUUGGAUUUUCUCAAAGUUUUUCAAACACGCAAGAAGAAAGCGAGAAAAUAAAUUAAGCAUGGAUGAUACAAUGAAAAAAUAUGGACACCGACAACUAGAAUGAAAUGUGUGAACAUGAAUGCAAUGUCGGCGGGAAUACGUACUCCCCCAAGCUUAGGCUUUUGGCCUAACUUGGUAAUCAGUCAGUAGCCUGGGUGGUAGCCGGCGUGGUGGCUCACGGAGGCUCUCGGUGCUGAUGCCUUGGCCUGCCGUGCUGCCUCCACUGCUGUGUUGUGAGCUCGAGCCUCGCUCUCAAGAACAAAAUGUCUUGCUUUGUUGUGAUAGUCAAAAAGAGCAGGCGCGGGCAAAUAUGUGUGCACAAUAGAUAUUUGGUUAAACAACAGAUUGUAAGUGAAGUUAUGAAUUUUUCCUUUGAGGAUCUUAUGACUUUUUAAAGCAUCAAAGUAUAAAUACUACGUGGGUAGGAUAGGGUCAAAGGGCAAAGGUGGAACACCUAGCCCUCGUGGUAAACACGUGGCAUAUAUUCCGCCAUAGAAAUAGCCAUUGUUAGCGUUACCCUGUAGUCUGCGUGCAACGAUCGCUCCAAGGUUAUAACUUUUAUCACCGUAGAGAGCGGUGUGAAUGAGGCUCGGAUAGGGAGCACAGAGUGUACUACAAUCUUGUUUGCCUACAAUACAUUUUUCAUUAAAUAAUGUGAAGUAUUGAAUUGCGGGAAAAUGUAUGAUCUUUAUUCUACCUUGCGUCACUCCCCUAGUUUCACCAAAGCAAAGACUAGUCAAGAAUGUUUCAAACUCAGACCUGGACGGCCCAUCGAGCGAACCCCAGAAUGGGAUUUUGCAGAGGUGAGCAAACCUCUCUAGAGAAAUGGUAAAUGAAUUUUCAUACAAUUUAAAUGACAACCUAGACUCACGGGGAAAGAGUUUAGAUUCUUUGACAAAUGAUUCGGUAAGGAUGAGGUGUUGGUCACACUUAUCUGAAAUGUAGGGAGCGAGAUCAGCAUUGUGAACUGAUACGUCUCCAACGUAUCUAUAAUUUUUUAUUGUUCCAUGCUAUUAUAUUACCGUUUUGGAUGUUUAUGGGCUUUACUCUACACUUUUAUAUCAUUUUUGGGACUAGCCUACUAAUCGGAGGCCCGGCCCACAUUGAUGUUUUUUGCCUAUUUCAGUGUUUCGAAGAAAAGGAAUAUCAAACAGAGUCCAAACGGAAUGAAACCUUCGGGAUAGUUAUUUUUGGAACGGAAGCAAUCCAGGAGACUUGGAGUAGAUGUCAGGGAAGCUUCGAGGUGGCCACGAGGCAGGGAGGCGCGCCCUACCCCCCUAGGCGCACCCCCCCCCCCCACCCUCGUGGGACCCUCGUGGGCCCCUCGUGGCUCCCCUGACCGACUUCUUUUGCCUAUAUAUGUCCAUAUACCCUAAAAACAUAGAGGAGCACAAUAGAUCGGGAGUUCCGCUGCCGCAAGCGUCUAUAGCCACCAAAAACCUCCCGGUAGCCCAUUCCGGCACCCUGCCGGAGGGGGGAUCCCUCACCGGUGGCCAUCUUCAUCAUCCCAGCGCUCUCCAUGAUGAGGAGGGAGUAGUUCACCCUCAGGGCUAAGGGUAUGUACCAGUAGCUAUGUGUUUGAUCUCUCUCUCUCUCUUGUGUUCUUGAGGUGAUACGAUCUUGAUGUAUCGCGAGCUUUGCUAUUAUAGUUGGAUCUUAUGAUGUUUCUCCCCCUCUACUCUCUUGUGAUGAAUUGAGUUUUCCCCUUGAAGUUGUCUUGUCGGAUUGAGUCUUUAAGUAUUUGAGAACACUUGAUGUACGUCUUGCCAUGCUUAUCUGUGGUGAUAAUGGGAUAUUCACGUGAUCUACUUGAUGUAUGUUUUGGUGAUCAACUUGCAGGUUCAAUGAACUUAUGCAUAGGGGUUGGCACACGUUUUCGUCUUGACUCUCCGGUAGAAACUUUGGGGCACUCUUUGAAGUAAUUUGUGUUGGUUGAAUAGAUGAAUAUGAGGUUGUGUGAUGCAUAUCGUAUAAUCAUACCCACGGAUACUUGAGGUGACAUUGGAGUAUCUAGGUGACAUUAGGGUUUUGGUUGAUUUGUGUCUUAAGGUGUUAUUCUAGUAUGAACUCUAUGAUAGAUCAAACGGAAAGAAUAGCUUCAUGUUAUUUUACUACGGACUCUUGAAUAGAUCGAUCAGAAAGGAUAACUUUGAGGUGGUUUCGUACCCUACAAUAAUCUCUUCGUUUGUUCUCCGCUAUUAGUGACUUUGGAGUGACUCUUUGUUGCAUGUUGAGAGAUAGUUAUAUGAUCCAGUUAUGUUAUUAUUGUUGAGUGAACUUGCACUAGUGAAAGUAUGAACCCUAGGCCUUGUUUCGAAGCAUUGCAAUACCGUUUGUGCUCACUUUUAUCAUUAGUUACCUUGCUGUUUUUAUAUUUUCAGAUUACAAAAACCUAUAUCUACCAUCCAUAUUGCACUUGUAUCACCAUCUCUUCGCCGAACUAGUGCACCUAUACAAUUUACCAUUGUAUUGGGUGUGUUGGGGACACAAGAGACUCUUUGCUAUUUGGUUGCAGGGUUGUUUGAGAGAGACCGUCUUCAUCCUACGCCUCCCACAGAUUGAUAAACCUUAGGUCAUCCACUUGAGGGAAAUUUGCUACUGUCCUACAAACCUCUGCACUUGGAGGCCCAACAACGUCUACAAGAAGAAGGUUGCAUAGUAGACAUCAUGAACAUAUUGCUCAAACUCCUCCUUAAUACCCACUCUCACCAUAUAAUCGUUGCAUGGCCCUAAGAAUGUUUUGGUGGUGGCACUUCGAAUGGAACUUUCACUUGGUUCGACAUAAGACCGACGGACGGAGCUGCUGCUAGAAGAUGCCUCCGAGGAUCUCCCCCUCAAAGAACUCCUUCCAAAGAAGUUCAUAAUGUUCGCGUACAAUUUUCUGAAAAAUUUUGGUCAUGAAAAUUUAUUAACAAAACUUCAGAAAAUUGAUAGCAACUACUUAUAGAGAUGUAUAGAGGCCAUAGAAAGCAUUCAAACUACUUAGAACUCUAAGAAUUCAACAUGCAAGCUCAUCUACAGCAGCACCAAGAGUAGCUAAUUAUUCUAAAUAUAAACCACUAAAACAAAAACUAAUUGGACACAUGGAGGAGUGACAUGCCAAGCAACAAAUCCCCGAAAUAGUUCCGAAAAUGGAGCUUCGGGCAAGGAGAUCAAAAUCUGCGGUUUCGGGAGCAAGAACAUGAGAGAGAGAGAGAGAGUGGUAGUGAUUUUUUUCUGGGUGAAUGGAGUGAUGUGGGAAGAAGAAGUAAGUGAGGGGGCCACUGGGGACCACAACCCACCAGGGCGCGCCUGGGGGUCCUGGCGCGCCCAGGUGGGUUGUGCCCACCUGGUGCACCUCCCUCUGAUAUUAUUUGCACCAGAAAUUCAGGAAUAUUCAGAAAAGAAUCGUGUAAAAUUUUCAGGGCAUUCUGAGAACUUUUAUUUUUUGGGUCAUUUUUAUUGCAUGAAAAAAAUCAGAAAAUAGACAAGGCAUGGCAUUUUAUUUUAUUUAACUAAGAAAAAUAGAAAACAAAAGGUAGGGACAGAAGGUAGUGCCUACUAAAUUCAUCAACUUCAUACCUUUCGAAAAUGAUUCAUUAAUAAGGUUGAUCAAGUCUUAUUAACAACCACUUUCGAUUAGCAUGAAACAGAAGAACUUUCCUAAAUCACUAAGUUACCUCAAUAGGGAUAUAAUGUCCCCAACAAUAAGAAUUUCAUAUUUCUUUUAACAGUAGGUAGAGUUAGUUGAAAACUUCCAAUAGUGAUUGUCGGAGAUUUUUCAAUAACAUUAAUACCAUUCACUUGGAAUUAUUUCUUCGGAAAGUGCACCGUAUGCUCAUUCCCAUUGAUAUGAAAAAUGACCUUGCUUUUAUUGGAAUCAAUAACAGACCCUGCAGUAUUCAAGAAGGGUCUACCAAGGAUAAUCGACAUAUUGUCAUCCUCGGGCAUCUCAAGUAUAACAAAGUCAGUCAAAAUAGUAACAUUAGCAACAACAACGAGCACAUCCUCACAAAUACCGAUAGGUAUGGCAGUUGAUUUGUCGGCCAUUUGCAAAGAUAUUUCAGUAGGUGUGAGUUUAUUCAAAUCAAGUCUUUUAUAUAAAGAGAAGGGCAUAGCACUAACACCAACUCCCAAAUCACAUAAAGCAGUUUUCACAUAAUUUCUUUUGAUGGAGCAAGGUACAGUUGGUAUUCCCGGAUCUCCAAGUUUUUUAGGUACUCCAUCCUUGAAAGUGUAAUUAGCAAGCAUAGUGGAGAUUUCAGCUUCCGGUAUUUUUCUCUUAUUGGUGAUGAUGUCUUUCAUUAUAUUGCAUAAGGAGGUAUCUUUAAGAUAUCAGUUAAGCGAGUUCGCAGAAAAACUGGCCUCAACAUUUCAACAAAGCAUUCAAAUUAUUCUUCAUCUUUCUUUUUAGUUGACUUAGGUGGAAAGGGCAUAGGCUUUUGAACCCAUGGUUCUCUUUCCUUACCGUGUUUUCUAGCAACAAAGUCUCUUUUAUCAUAUCUUUUAUUCUUAGGUUGUGGGUUAUCAAGAUCAACAGAUGGUUCUAUCUCAACAUCAUUAUCUGGUUCUUUAUCAUUUGGUUGAGUGUCUUCAUGAACCUCAUCGUUUUCUUUCUCAUUAUCAGGAGGUGAGUGUUCAUUACCAGAUUGAGUUUCAGCAUCAGAGAUAGAAAUUUCAUUAUCAUUAUCAGGAGGUUUCUCUAUUUCAGGUUCACUAGUAGCAUGCAAAGUCCUAUGAUUUUUAUUUUUCUUCUUCUUUUUAGAAGGACUAGGUGUAGUUGUGUUGUUCCUUUGUGAAUCAUGUUCAAUUCUCUUUGGGUGGCCCUCGGGAUAAAGUGGUUCCUGAGUCAUUUUACCUCCUCUAGUUGCUACUCUAACAACAAAGCCACUUAUAUUAUUGUUCAUUUCAUCAAGCAACUCUUUUUGAGAUUUAGCAACUUGUUCUAAUUGAGUUUUAACCAUAGAGGCAUGCUUUCCUACACCUCUAACAUCAUUUGAGAUUCUAAAUAACAAGUCACUUAAGCGAGCAAUCAUAUCAGAGUUGUAUUUCAAUUGUUUCAUAACAUUUGCAUAGAAGUGAUCUUGCUUUCUAAUGUAAUUAUCAAACUCAUAAAGGCAUUGACUAGGAUGUUUGUUACGAGGAUCAUCACUAUAAUUGAAUUUCAUUAAAGAUUUUACCUCUACCACCUUAGGUGGUGGUGGUGCUUCAAUCCCAUGUAUUUCUUUGAUGGGUGGUAAAUUUUUAACAUCCUCAGCUUUAAUACCUUUUUCCUUCAUAGAUUUAUUUGCCUCUUGCAUAUCUUCAGGACUGAGAUAUAAGAUACCCCUCUUCUUCGGAGUGGGUUCAAUAGGUGUUUCAGGAGGAUUCCAAUCAUCAUAAUUUUUCAAUAUGUCAUUCAAUAAUUCUUCAGCUUGCCCAAUGUUCGUUCCCUGAAAACACAACUAGCACAACUAUCUAGGAAUCCCUAGAAGCAUGGGUUAGUCCAUUGUAGAAGAUAUCAAGUAUUUCAUUUUUCUUAAGAGGAUGAUCAGGCAAAGCAUUAAGCAAUUGGAGAAGCCUCCCCAAGCUUGUGGGAGACUCUCUUCUUCAAUUUUCACAAAGUUAAAUAUUUCCUGCAAGGCAGCUUGUUUCUUAUAAGCAGGGAAAUAUUUUUCAGAGAAGUAAUAGAUCAUAUCCUGGGGACUACGCACACAACCAGGAACAAGAGUAUUGUACCAAGCUUUAGCAUCACCCUUUAAUGAGAAUGGAAAUAACUUGAGAAUAUAGUAAUAGCGAAUCUUCUCAUCAUGAGCAAAAAGAGUGGCUAUAUCAUUCAACUUAGUAAGAUGUGCCACAACAGUUUCAGUUUCAUAACCAUGGAAAGGAUCAGAUUCAACCAAAGUAAUUAACUUUGGGUCGACAGAGAAUUCAUAAUCCUUAUCACUAAUAAGAAUAGGUGAAGUAGCAAACUCAGGAUCACAUUUCAUCUUAGCAUUCAGAGAACUUUCUUUAUACUUGCAUAAUAAUUUCUCUAGAUCAUCUCUAUCCUUACAAGCAGGAAUAUCUCUAGUUGCCUCUUCACUCAUAGUAUAAGCUUGUGGUACGUUUGGCAAUUCAUAUCUAGGAGGACUAGUUCUAGUAGGUGUUUCAAGAUUUUCAGUUUCAAGUUCAUCAUCAGAUUCAACAAUAUCAUGUUGUCUUACUCUAGCAAUUUGCUCAUCAAGAAAUUCACUUAGUGGCACAUCAUCAUCAAGCAAGGUACUAGCAUCAUCAUGAGUAGCAUUCAUAGAAGAAGUAGCAUCAUCAAUAACUUGCGACAUAUCGGAAUUAAUAGCAUGUUGUGGUGUUGCAAGUUUACUUAUAACAGAAGGUGAAUCUAAAGCAGAACUGGAUGGCAGUUCCUUACCUCCCCUCGUCUUUGAGGGAAAAAUCUUAGUCUUAGCAUCCUUUAGAUUCUUCAUAGUGAUAUAGUAUGAUAAUAAUCCCAAGUGACUCAACAAAUAUAGCUAUGCUCCCCGGCAACGGUGCCAGAAAAAUGUCUUGAUAACCCACAAGUAUAGGGGAUCGCAAUUGUUUUCGAGGGUGGAGUAUUCAACCCAAAUUUAUAGAUUUAACACAAGGGGAGCCAAAGAAUAUUUGAAGGUAUUAGCAGCUGAGUUGUCAAUUCAACCACACCUGGAGAUUAAUUAUCUGCAGCAAAGUGAUUAGUAGCACAGUAGUAUGAUAGUUUUGAUGGUAGCAGCAGUAGCAACGGUAACGGUAACAGUGGUAGCAGUAAUAUUGUAGCAGUAACGAUAGUAGUAGCAGUAGUAAUAACUUAGCAAGAACAAUAUAAGAUAAAUUCGUAGGCAUUGGAUCGAUGACUCGUUGAAUGAUAUUCAUCAUGAGACAGUUAUAACCUAGGGCGAUAUGGCACUAGCUCCAGUUCAUAAAUAUAAUGUAGGCAUGUAUUCCGUAAAUAGUCAUACAUGCUUAUGGAAAGAACUUGCAUGACAUCUUUUGUCCUACCCUCCUGUGGCAGCGGGGUCCUAUUGGAAACUAAGGGAUAUUAAGGCCUACUUUUACUAGAGAACAGGAACAAAGCAUUAGCACACGGUGAAUACAUGAACUCCUCAAACUAUGGUCAUCACCGGGAGUGGUCCCGACUAUUGUCACUCCGGGGUUGCCGGAUCAUAACACGUAGUAGGUGACUAUAACUUGCAAGAUCGGAUCUAGAACAUGGAUAUAAUGGUGAUAACAUAAAUGGUUCAGAUCUGAAAUCAUGGCACCCAGGCGCAAAGUGACAAGCAUUAAGCAUGGCAAAGUCAUAGCAACAUCAAUCUCGGAACAUAGUGGAUACUAGGGAUCAGGCCCUAACAAAACUAACUCAAAUACAUGAUGAAUCUCAUCAAACUUCUCACCGACCAGUGAGCCUACGAAGGAAUUACUCACUCCCGAUGGGGAGCAUCAUGGUAUUGGCGAUGGAGAUGUGUUGGUGAUGACGAAGGUCGAAGGUCCCCCUCUCCGGAGCCCCAAACGGACUCCAGAUCUGGCCUCCCGAUGAAGAACAAGAGACGGCGGUGGCUCCGUCUCGUGAAACACGAUAAUUCUUUCUCCCUGAUUUUUUUCUGGAAAUAUGUGAUUUUAUAGCGUCGGUUUUAGGGUCAGCGGGGCCACCAGGUGGGCAGCAUCCACCAGGGCGCGCCUGGGGGGCAGGCACUCCCUGGUGGGUUGUGCCCACCCAGGUGCCCCCUCGGGUACCUCUUGGCUCCAGAAAUUCUCUUAUUUGAUAUAAAAAAUCCUCGCAAAGUUUCGUUCCAUUCUGAGAACUUUUUUUUCUGCACAAAAACAACACCAUGGUAGUUCUACUGAAAACAGCGUCAGUCCGGGUUAGUUUCAUUCAAAUCAUGCAAAUUAGAGUCCAAAACAAGAGGAAAAGUGUUAGGAAAAGUAGAUAUGUUGGAGAUGUAUCAUGCUAUCAUAUGUUUGUUAGGCAGAAUUGCCUAUUCCUCUUCUUUAUUUUUUUUGCAAAUCACUACUAACACCCCGAUUUUGAUAACCGUAUUUCAGCUGGGAGGAGUUCAGGGUGGCCAUUGCGGUUGCGUUGUCCACGUAUGAAAAAUGUUUCCCAAAUUCUCCCUUGCCCUAUGUUCGAAUACCCACUGGCUCAAGUUGCAUCAAGUGUCAGGUUGUUGACCUGCCAGCGUCAUAUGGUGACUUUGUUGUGCCUAGUUUCCCCAUAGACAUGACGAUUUCUAAUGUUGCUAAUUGUAUCAUGAACUGGAUUGCAAAAAAGGUUCCCUCUCCUUCUCUCGCAAGGUGUGUUUCCAUUUAUUUAUCGCAUUAUUUCCCCACCUUAGUCCGGGAAAAAGUAAGGUUGAUUCUUCUAUUUCAACUAUUUCAGAGAUUGGGUGCUCAUGGAGGAUCACCCUGCUGUCCGUGUGACAGGAAAAGAGUUGUGGUCUAUUUCCAACAUGAGCUCAGAUAUAAACAAUGAUGUUGCUAAAGGGGUCAUUCGUGUGUUCAACGCCGAUGUAGAUUCCAAAUUGAAACAUGAUGCUUCCUUUGCACCUCGUUGUUACGUCACUAUCGCCUUCGUGGUUUGUGCCUCUAUUACUUUUCCCUUCAUCUUGUAUGUUUGUUUAGAUGAAAAAUAACCUUAACAAUUUUCAUUAACUUUUCCUUUCUAGAUCAACGCCCUUUCAAAUAAACAUGGUGCCAUAGCAGGCAUGGACAUGCUCAGUGUGGAUGUCAUUGGCUAUGACAUUCGUGCCUGCCAUCAGGUAUUUACAUUUGGUUUGUUGUAUAUGCAGUGCUAACAAUUGAACUACUUCAUAUAAUAAAAUACAUUGUAGUUUGUGGAUGUCGUGCCUAUAGAAAAGAUGUGAGCUUGUUUAUCAUGGGAUUUUAAGAAGCGUCACUUCACCCUUGUGGACCCUACAGAGAUUAGCAUGACUUCAGAUGAAAUCUAGGCCAGGCACAAAGAAAACUUUUCCCUCUUGAACAAAAAACUUAUCGAUGUUCUACGUCAGAUCCAUGGCGAUCUUGGUUAUGGUGCUGGCCCUUGGACUAUGCUAGUGCACUCAGUAAUAGGCCAUAAUUGUAUCAAGUAUGUUAGUUUACUCACCACGGCUUUGUAGUUAUUAUCCGACUUCCUGGGCCAUAUGUAUUGAUUGUUAAUUAUGUGUUUGUUCAGGAAUGCCUCUGGUGUUUACGCCUUCACUUGUGCUAAAAUUGUGGAUUGCGCCUUCGGAGCGCUUGCUGCUGACACUUUUGACGUGAUACAAACCACGUGGUUGUUGCUUUACAAGAUGCUUAUACAGGAGGGUAACUUGGGAAGAUAUGUGUUGCCACCCUCUGCUCCAACUAAGAUUAUGCUCCAGCCCACCUGCCCAAAGUUGAACUGAUGAUAUAGGAUGUAUGUUGCAUCCUUAGCAUUCCGUUCAAUGAGAGACUUGAAGCACUUUUUGUUUCCUGUCCUGCUUAUGUUUAUUUUCGUUUGCUAUCACUGUGUCAUCUUUUAUUACCGCUUGAACUAUCUAUUGUAUUGCAUUUCAAUUUCUUUUUUACUUUGUGUUGCACAGUAUGGAUUCAUCAUAAAAAAAUGUUUGAUCUAGAGAUAUUUUCCAUCCCUACUUCCUUUCUUCCUCCUGAGGCCUCCAACUCUUUCAUUGAUAUUGCUUAAGUGGAAACACCACUCCUUAAAAAACACUUUAUAGAAGUAUGAUGUUUGCUUUAAAUGCUAGAACGCUUGUUGGUUCCCCCUUUCCAAUCCAUCAUUUUAGUCCCAUUGUAUGUACAGAUAUUCUAGGUACUAGGAUGCUUGUGAGUUCCCAUAGGUUAUCCGUGAUGCAUUGGGUUGUUUGUACAAACGUGCUAGUUGAAGAUACAAAGGCUUGCCAAAUUCCAUUGGUUGUCGAGGAUGCAUCGUGGCGUGUUUAUGAAAGAUGCUAGCUAUGUGACAGUUAGUGUGCCUAUAUAGGAGCACGGUAUGCCUCUAUCAUAAUGUGUGCCACUACUACAUAUAUGUGUGUCAUUAUUGUUCUUUCUUUGAAACCACUUGCUCUGCCAAUGCUCCUUCAACCCACACAUUUCCCAUUCGACACACCCCUUGCACAGUCCCCAACAUCGCAUGAGGUAGGUAAAAUAGUUUGCAAGUGCACUAUGAUAAUUUUAAAAUAGUCUCCAUCUUUGUUUUGUUGUCUUCUGCAGCGUAGCGUUCCUCGGUAACCUCGGGAUUGUUUUCUCCAUCCUCUUGCACAUCGGCCCCAUGUGUCGCCGUUGAUUCACUCCGUUGUGGGUAUUUCAGUACAACCUCUCUUUGUCUUCUUGUACCUCAUGUGUUUGUUGAUCUCUACUAUCUAGAGUUCUUGUUGACGUUGUCUUCGGUGCAAAGGCUUCUUUUGUUCAUUGAGAUGUUUGAUUGUCCCCAUAGUUACCAUCUCGUCUGGAAGUCAAGACAUCAGCAAGAGACUACACUCCUCCCCAGUAUCACACUUCUUUUUGACUGAUCUUGGUGUUCUGUGAGCGAUGAGCUCAUCCAACUGUACAUAUGAUCAUUGCUAAGAUAAUGUUGUCCAGAUGAUAUGUAAUGUACUCUAGUUGAAUCAAGGUUUCCAUGUCUCUCAUUAUAUGUUGUAAUCUCUUCCUGUAAUGGAAAUAUUUAGAAGAAUUCUCUAAAACCUUAGAUGAUGAUCUGGUCUUAUCGAAGAGCAUUGUUUGAGAGUCCAACAAUAUUUUUUGGUGUUGAUAGUCUCAAAUAACAUGGUACAAAUUUGCAGUGUCUACUCUACUCCUGGAAUUGAAGAGUUUGAAAUGGCAUACUUCAUUUUUGUAUUGUAUCUUCUGCAAUUGGAUUUGUUGCUAAUGAUCGAGUUGAAUGGUACUCGGCUUGUAGUGCUCUACAAUAGGUGGCAAACACAAUAUUAUGAACUUGGGAGCUGUCUCUAAGCUCCUGGCUUGGAAAGGAAAAAAAUAUCAAUAAUGUGGAUCAAGUGACUCUGGUGAAAUCAGUGCUAACCUCCCAAAUCAUCUGCCACAUCAUUGCUCUUGACAUUUCUAAGGGAACCCAAGCAAACAUUAGUAUAAUUGAACGAGCUUUCCUCUAGGCGGCAUGGAUAAAGUCAAUGGUGUGCAAUGCAAAGUCAAUUGGAAAUCGUUGUGAUACCAAAAUCCAUUGGAGACCUUGGAGUUCUUAACAUUGAUAAGUUCUCAAGGGCUCUUCGCCUUCGGAGGCUUUGGUUCGCUUGGAAGGAUCCGCGCAGGGCGUGGGUAGGCUUUGAGACUCCAUGUGAUGAAUAAGAUUACGAUCUUUUCUACGGCCUGACCAGCAUCACAAUUGGUGAUGGAAAGACGGUGAGCUUUUGGAAGGCGCGCAUUGCCCAUGGAAUUUUUUACCUCUCUGGACGCAAUAACUGCGAGGUGCACAAGGCUUUACAAGACACUUAUUGAUCAGGCGCAUAUACCUUCAGCAUGCCCUCUUGAUGGUUCGCAUCCAUUAGUUCCUCAUCCUCUAGUAGAAAAUUCAAGAGGUUGUUCUCAACCCAAAUACAGAAGAUGAGAUCACUUGAAAAUUCAUGACCGAUGGCUAAUACUCGGGGGCUACAGCUUAUAAAAUUGUAAUUUGCGGGCCUAAUUAAAUAGUAUGGAAGUGUUGGGAACCUUCGAAAAUCAAGUUGUUUUCUUGGCUCAUCUUGCGUAAUAGAGUUUGGAUGGCGGACAAGUUACAGAGGCGAGUUUAGCCGAAUUGAUGGGUUAUGUCAACUGUGUAAGCGUGAGCUUGAGUCUGCGGCACACAUGAUCUUCAAGUGUUGUUACUCCAAGUACAUCUGGAAUAUGACUAAGGAAUGGAUUGACAUACAUCACAUGGACACACCCAACUGGAACGGUUACCUCUCAGACUCUCAGUCAAGGAUUGGUGGAAUGCGACGAUUGGAAUGCCGGGCGGCCGAAGCAAAGCUAUGUGAUCAUGAUGAUUUCCUAGGAGAUAUGAAACGAACGGAAUGCACAUGUUUUCCGUAAUGAGGCGACUAUGCUGUCAAUCGUGAUGACCAAGAUUAAAAGAGAAGCCCGAAACUGGGUCAUUGCCGGGGUGGGGUCCUUAAUUCCGGAAGAGUAGUCCCGUUGUAUUGACCUUUUUUGGUUUGAAUCUCUUAAGAUUCUGUUAUUCCCUUUUCUUAAUUAAUGAGAUGGCGCAAAAUAAUUUCAAACAAAGAAAAGUUAUACUGGAAAUACAAACUAUCUAAGGGAUUUGAAUGGUGACAUCAUAAUAUUGAGGGUAUGGACUCUCAUUUCCCACUCAGCCAAAAUAUGAAUAUCUUCCAAGGUACUCUCCAAUCUAAAAUGGAUGUCCUUUUAGAAUUUCUGUUGGUUAAACUUUUUUUUAUGUAUAACUAUCAAUUCAAAAGGAGUUAUUGGUAUUGACAUUCUGAAAUAUACACCAUGAUUUUUGUUUUUUAUGUAACAUAUUGUCAAAGAAAUUGGUGGUCCAAUAUCACAUAGGAGACAAUGUCAAUGUCCUAGAAGACCAAGGAUUUUUGAAACAAAGUGAGCAACUACAUUUUCCCAUCACUCAGCCAUAACCAUACAGAUCUUGAUGAGAACAGUGCAUACUAAAACCACUGAAAAAGAUAGAACAAGCAAACUAUGGGAGAUUAGCUGUACAACAUUUCCCUCCAGGGAGCCCCUAUGGUGCCACUGCAGCUGCAGGGUGUUUGCUGUACAGAAGGGCCUUCUUUCAUCGGCACAAGCUAGCAUCUGUUGCUGAAGAUGCAAACAGCAGGCUGUCCGAUACACGAUGUAUCCCAUGACAAGCAAAGAGCACUCUCAAUCCUUAACAUCUGUGACGCCUUCAGGUGAUAUCUGAAACCUUGCUUCAGCUUCAGCCAGGCAGGGAGAGCUCACCACCUUACAGAUCCGCUCCUCCGCCCUUCCCUUACGGAG